UGAUGAAAAACCUUUCAUGCUGUGUGACGUACUCCCUUAUGAGGGCAGGCACAAGCUGCUUGCGGCCUAGUGUCAUGCAAUUGAUUAUAGACGGCAUUCUGAA
Molecule: small nucleolar RNA, 103 nt
Organism: Trypanosoma brucei brucei TREU927
Lineage: Eukaryota; Euglenozoa; Kinetoplastea; Trypanosomatida; Trypanosomatidae
Source: RefSeq, a predicted model, not a curated record